Long non-coding RNA from Hippocampus comes (tiger tail seahorse), 314 nucleotides. RefSeq lists it as uncharacterized. The transcript has 3 exons. NCBI's taxonomy places the organism in Eukaryota, Metazoa, Chordata, Actinopteri, Syngnathiformes, Syngnathidae. The record is from RefSeq and is a predicted model, not a curated record.
AAGGCCACUCACUCCCUCAUCUCUCUGCAGAUCACAGCUUCUUUGGCUCCGAGUGGCAGAGGAGAUGGUGCGUCCUCAACAAUUCCAUCUUCUUCUAUUUUUGCAGUGAGAAAGAUAAGCAACAGAAAGGCUCGUUUUACAUCAACGACUACAGCGUUCAGCUCGUCAACAACCUGAGGAAAGACUCCAAAAGGAACGCCUGCUUUGAGCUGUCUGCUCCCGGACGGAAGACUUACCAGUUUACGGCCAGCAGUGCUCAGGAGGCUCGAGAAUGGGUCAACUACAUCAGCUUUGUGCUCAGAGGUAAGUGGGCG